RNAcentral lists this long non-coding RNA (337 nucleotides) under Trifolium pratense (red clover). RNAcentral describes it as "long non-coding RNA (TPRA_LNC005635)". The record is from RNAcentral. Lineage: Eukaryota; Viridiplantae; Streptophyta; Magnoliopsida; Fabales; Fabaceae.
CAACUUAAAAAUAACAACUUUUAAUUUAACAGAUAAAAGCGAGAUAAAAGGUGUGGUUUCAGUUUUGGAACAUAUCAAUUAAUGCGUAACUACUCCCCCUUUUGUCAUUAUCAAAAAGUAAAACAAAGUUAUAUAACCAAGACAGUCAAAGAGAAAGGAGAGUGGUUGUUACAAAGGUGAAUUAAAUUCAAAAACGAAAACCAACGCGCUCAAGGGUUUAUAAAAACUGAACGAGUUAACAUGCCUUCUUCACGUAAAAACAAGAGUAAACAAGUGAAGCAAGAGAAAGUAGGAAUAAUGAAAAGAUUUAGUUUACGCAUUGCAGAGUUUAAGAGAA